AGCAGUAGCCACGGGAAUACGUAGGUGGCAAGCGUUGUCCGGAAUUAUUGGGCGUAAAGGGCUCGCAGGCGGUUUCUUAAGUCUGAUGUGAAAGCCCCCGGCUCAACCGGGGAGGGUCAUUGGAAACUGGGAAACUUGAGUGCAGAAGAGGAGAGUGGAAUUCCACGUGUAGCGGUGAAAUGCGUAGAGAUGUGGAGGAACACCAGUGGCGAAGGCGACUCUCUGGUCUGUAACUGACGCUGAGGAGCGAAAGCGUGGGGAGCGAACAGGAUUAGAUACCCGCGUAGUCCCUGUCUCUUAUAC
RNAcentral lists this ribosomal RNA (303 nucleotides) under uncultured bacterium. RNAcentral describes it as "partial 16S ribosomal RNA". It matches the Rfam family "Bacterial small subunit ribosomal RNA", at positions 507 to 807 of the family's 1533-position model. The record is from RNAcentral.